Molecule: ribosomal RNA, 497 nt
Filed under: uncultured bacterium
Lineage: Bacteria
Description: partial 16S ribosomal RNA
Rfam family: Bacterial small subunit ribosomal RNA
Source: RNAcentral
GAUGAACGCUGGCGGCGUGCCUAAUACAUGCAAGUCGAGCGAACAGACGAGUAGCUGGCUCCUCUGACGUUAGCGGCGGACGGGUGAGUAACACGUGGAUAACCUACCUAUAAGACUGGGAUAACUUCGGGAAACCGGAGCUAAUACCGGAUAAUAUAUUGAACCGCAUGGUUCAAUAGUGAAAGACGGGUUUGCUGUCACUUAUACAUGGAUCCGCGCCGCAUUAGCUAGUUGUUAAGGUAACGGCUUACAAAGGCAACGAUGGGUAGCCGCCAUGAGAGGGUGAAUCGAUAGACGGGAAGUGAGAAAGGGCACACACUCUGAGGGUGGGAAGCAGCAGGGAAUCCUACGCGAGGGAGCAGUGGCGGACGGAGGACCGUGGCGUGAGUCCUGAAGGUCCUCGGACCGUAAAACUCUGUUAUUAGGGAAGAACAAAUGUGUAAGUAACUAUGAACGUAUUGACGGUACCAACACAGAAAGCCACGGCUAACUCCGUG